RNAcentral lists this ribosomal RNA (301 nucleotides) under uncultured bacterium. RNAcentral describes it as "partial 16S ribosomal RNA". It matches the Rfam family "Bacterial small subunit ribosomal RNA", at positions 509 to 809 of the family's 1533-position model. The record is from RNAcentral.
CAGCAGCCGCGGUAAUACGUAGGUGGCAAGCGUUGUCCGGAAUUAUUGGGCGUAAAGGGCUCGCAGGCGGUUUCUUAAGUCUGAUGUGAAAGCCCCCGGCUCAACCGGGGAGGGUCAUUGGAAACUGGGAAACUUGAGUGCAGAAGAGGAGAGUGGAAUUCCACGUGUAGCGGUGAAAUGCGUAGAGAUGUGGAGGAACACCAGUGGCGAAGGCGACUCUCUGGUCUGUAACUGACGCUGAGGAGCGAAAGCGUGGGGAGCGAACAGGAUUAGAUACCCCGGUAGUCCCUGUCUCUUAUCU